CCUACGGGUGGCAGCAGUGAGGAAUAUUGGUCAAUGGGCGGAAGCCUGAACCAGCCAAGUCGCGUGAGGGAAUAAGGCCCUACGGGUCGUAAACCUCUUUUGCCGGGGAGCAAGGGCGGGGACGUGUCCCGGCCCGGUGAGUACCCGGAGCAAAAGCAUCGGCUAACUCCGUGCCAGCCGCCGCGGUAAUACUGAGGAUGCGGGGGUUAUCCGGAUUUAUUGGGGUUAUAGGGUGCGUAGGCGGGCUUUUAAGUCUGCGGGAAAAAUUCGGGGCUCAACCCCGUCCGGCCGUUGAAACGGGGGGCCGUGAGUGGGCGAGAAGGAGGCGGAAUGCGUGGUGCAGCGGUGAAAUGCAUAGAUAUCACGCAGAACCCCGAUUGCGAAGGCAGCCUUCCGGCGCCCUACUGACGCUGAGGCACGAAAGUGCGGGGAUCGAACAGGAUUAGAUACCCGGGUAGU
Molecule: ribosomal RNA, 459 nt
Filed under: uncultured bacterium
Lineage: Bacteria
Description: partial 16S ribosomal RNA
Rfam family: Bacterial small subunit ribosomal RNA
Source: RNAcentral